GGAAGAGAAAUGUGUCGCAAGCCACAGUUAAUUCCAUGAAUAAACUUACCAAGAAAGGAGAAAAGAAAAGCAAUUAAAACUGAGUUGGAAGCUAAGCGAUUAAAACUGAGUUGGAAGCUAACUACCAAUGCUUAAUUCGAACGACUAUCAAUAAACGCUAAACAGUGCUUGAAUUGUUCACCUAAAAGAAGCAUGUGAUGUAACUAUCAAUAAGCUGUUCAUGAAUAAUUGCACGCAUGCUAGAAACAAAGAGGGGUGGGGAUGACCACACAAGACAGGCUUUAUCGUGGUAAUUGCACACAUCCUUGAUGUUUAACAGUUGGAUCUGUCUCAAGGGAAAGGAGCAUGUCUUGUCAGCUGAAAAUUUUCGAGUUGGGUCUAUCAUCCUGUGGCAUUUCAAAGCCCAAAUGCGCCUUUCGUGGGUAAUGCUGGGCACGACAGCUUAAAAGAUGCGGAGGACUGUGUGCAUGGCCUAUGCGAUAAAAAUUCGGUGGCUC
This 497-nucleotide unclassified non-coding RNA is filed under the name Hevea brasiliensis (rubber tree). Lineage: Eukaryota; Viridiplantae; Streptophyta; Magnoliopsida; Malpighiales; Euphorbiaceae. The record is from RNAcentral.